This 633-nucleotide ribosomal RNA is filed under the name uncultured marine eukaryote. RNAcentral describes it as "bacterial SSU rRNA". It matches the Rfam family "Eukaryotic small subunit ribosomal RNA", at positions 617 to 1256 of the family's 1831-position model. The record is from RNAcentral.
GGUAAAAAAGCUCGUAGUUGAAUUUCUGUUGAGGGAAAACGGUCCAUACCACGUAUGCGUAUCUGUCUUUCUCUCGGCAUCUUCUCGGACGUCGUUGCUGCGCUUGAUUGCGUGGUGCGAACCUCGGGACUUUUACUUUGAGGAAAUUAGAGUGUUCACGGCAGGCUAUCGCCAGAAUACAUUAGCAUGGAAUAAUACUAUAGGAUCUUGGUUCUAUUUUGUUGGUUUCUAGAAUUAAGAUAAUGAUUAAUAAGGACAAUUGGGGGCAUUCGUACCAACACGUCAGAGGUGGAAUUCUUGGAUUGUGUUGCGACGAACUACUGCGAAAGCAUUUGCCAAGGAUGUUUUCAUUGAUCAAGAACGAAAGUAAGGGGAUCGAAGACGAUUAGAUACCGUCGUAGUCUUUACCAUAAACUAUGCCGACUAGAAAUCUGCAAACGUUCAUUUACGACUUUGCAGGCGUCUUAUGAGAUAUCAAAGUUUUUGGGUUCCGGGGGGAGUAUGGUCGCAAGAUUGAAACUUAAAGGAAUUGACGGAAGGGCACCACCAGGAGUGGAGCCUGCGGCUUAAUUUGACUCAACACGGGGAAACUCACCAGGUCCAGACAUAAUAAGGAUUGACAGAUUGAUAGCU